Long non-coding RNA from Equus caballus (horse), 680 nucleotides. RefSeq lists it as uncharacterized. The record is from RefSeq and is a predicted model, not a curated record. Lineage: Eukaryota; Metazoa; Chordata; Mammalia; Perissodactyla; Equidae.
GGUGCGGCAUACAAAUGAACUUGGCCACUGUGCGCCCCGCUGGGCAGGGCGGAUUUGGAACAUUUGGGCACAUCUGCGGGUCUUGAGGGGGGGAUGCUGCUGAAGGAAGCAGGAUAUGGCCCACGAGAGCGGCGGGGGCCUAGAGAUGGGCACGAACCUCCCUUUAGGGGAGAGAGAGCUGCGCAUCCCCUUCUCCCCACUUCCAUUUGCAGCCUGUGCCUGCCUGCGUGGGAGAAGCGUCUAUCUAUAGCGUGCUAUUUUUAGCUCCAUCAGCUGAAGAACCUGACAGCCAGUUAAUGACUGGGACCCAUCGGCGUGUCUGCCAGGCUGUGGAAUGCGCACGCCGGGAGCAGAUGUGCUGAGAGGCUCAAGUGUCAAUAGCCACAUGGGGCUAGGAGCUGCCGUACUGGAUGGAGCAGCUCUAGAGGACUGGCAGCGCCUUUUAAUCUACAGGGAGCUUUCGAAGAUGAUAACGCCGUGAUGUGUUCCCAGAGACCCUGACUUAAGUGCUCUACGAAUUCAACUAGAUCCCCGGAGCUGUGGCAGCCAUGUUACAACCAUGAGGGAAGACCAGAAAUUUUGCAGACAAUCACCUUGACAUCACUGUGCUAAUGAAUCAAACCCAGCAGCUGCCUACCUCUGGACUUCUUGUUUUGGGAAAAAAAUACAACUUAUUUGCU